GGACAACCUGCCCUAAGGUCUGGCAUAACUCCGGGAAACUGGGGAUAAUUCCAGAUAAACCAUGGAUACUGGAAUGUACUGUGGUUAAAAGCUCCGGUGCCUUAGGAUGGAUCUGCGGCCUAUCAGGUAGUAGUGGGUGUAAUGUACCUACUAGCCUACGACGGGUACGGGUUGUGAGAGCAAGAGCCCGGAGAUGGAUUCUGAGACAUGAAUCCAGGCCCUACGGGGCGCAGCAGGCGCGAAAACUUUACAAUGCGGGAAACCGCGAUAAGGGGACACUGAGUGCCAGCACCAUGUGCUGGCUGUCCGCAUGUAUAAAUCACAUGUGUCAGCAAGGGCCGGGCAAGACCGGUGCCAGCCGCCGCGGUAACACCGGCGGCCCGAGUGGUGGCCAUUAUUAUUGGGUCUAAAGGGUCCGUAGCCGGUUUGAUCAGUCUUCCGGGAAAUCUGACAGCUCAACUGUUAGGCUUCUGGGGGAUACUGUCAGACUUGGAACCGGGAGAGGUAAGAGGUACUACAGGGGUAGGAGUGAAAUCUUGUAAUCCUUGUGGGACCACCAGUGGCGAAGGCGUCUUACCAGAACGGGUUUGACGGUGAGGGACGAAAGCUGGGGGCACGAACCGGAUUAGAUACCCGGGUAGUCCCAGCCGUAAACGAUGCUCGCUAGGUGUCUGGGAUGGUGCGACCGUUUCAGGUGCCGCAGGGAAGCCGUGAAGCGAGCCACCUGGGAAGUACGGCCGCAAGGCUGAAACUUAA
RNAcentral lists this ribosomal RNA (756 nucleotides) under uncultured Methanolobus sp. RNAcentral's name for it is "bacterial SSU rRNA". It matches the Rfam family "Archaeal small subunit ribosomal RNA", at positions 102 to 859 of the family's 1478-position model. The record is from RNAcentral. Lineage: Archaea; Methanobacteriati; Methanobacteriota; Methanomicrobia; Methanosarcinales; Methanosarcinaceae.